AUUGAACGCUGGCGGAAUGCUUUACACAUGCAAGUCGAACGGCAGCACGGGGGCAACCCUGGUGGCGAGUGGCGAACGGGUGAGUAAUACAUCGGAACGUGCCCAGUCGUGGGGGAUAACGUAGCGAAAGCUACGCUAAUACCGCAUACGAUCUACGGAUGAAAGCGGGGGAUCGCAAGACCUCGCGCGAUUGGAGCGGCCGAUGGCAGAUUAGGUAGUUGGUGGGGUAAAAGGCUCACCAAGCCUUCGAUCUGUAGCUGGUCUGAGAGGACGACCAGCCACACUGGGACUGAGACACGGCCCAGACUCCUACGGGAGGCAGCAGUGGGGAAUUUUGGACAAUGGGCGAAAGCCUGAUCCAGCCAUUCCGCGUGCAGGAUGAAGGCCCUCGGGUUGUAAACUGCUUUUGUACGGAACGAAACGGCCUUUUCUAAUACAGAGGGCUAAUGACGGUACCGUAAGAAUAAG
RNAcentral lists this ribosomal RNA (468 nucleotides) under uncultured bacterium. RNAcentral's name for it is "bacterial SSU rRNA". It matches the Rfam family "Bacterial small subunit ribosomal RNA", at positions 30 to 490 of the family's 1533-position model. The record is from RNAcentral.